Molecule: ribosomal RNA, 1371 nt
Filed under: uncultured bacterium
Lineage: Bacteria
Description: bacterial SSU rRNA
Rfam family: Bacterial small subunit ribosomal RNA
Source: RNAcentral
GACGAACGCUCGCUACAGGUCUCACACACGCAAGCCGAGGGGCAGCACGAACUUCAGCUCGCCAAGCUCGACGGCGACCGGCGCACGGGCGAGUAACACGUAUCCAACCCGCCGAGCGACUUCGGGGAUAGCCUUUUCGAAAGAAAGAAUCAAAUACCCGAGCGGCAUAGUUCUUCCGCACGGUGGAACUAUUAAAGAAAUCUCGGUCAUCGAUCGGGGAUCGCGCUCCAUUAGGUUCGUUGGCGGGGUAACGGCCCACCAAGCCUUCGAUGGAUAGGGGUUCUGAGAGGAAGGUCCCCCACAUUGGAACUGAGACACGGUCCAAACUCCUACGGGAGGCAGCAGUGAGGAAUAUUGGUCAAUGGACGAGAGUCUGAACCAGCCAAGUAGCGUGAAGGAUGACUGCCCUAUGGGUUGUAAACUUCUUUUAUACGGGAAUAAAGUGAGGCACGUGUGCCUUUUUUGUAUGUACCGUAUGAAUAAGGAUUCGGCUAACUCCGUGCCAGCAGCCGCGGUAAUACGGAGGAUUCCGAGCGUUAUCCGGAUUUAUUGGGUUUAAAGGGAGCGUAGGCGGACGCUUAAGUCAGUUGUGAAAGUUUGCGGCUCAACCGUAAAAUUGCAGUUGAUACUGGGUGUCUUGAGUACAGUAGAGGCAGGCGGAAUUCGUGGUGUAGCGGUGAAAUGCUUAGAUAUCACGAAGAACUCCGAUUGCGAAGGCAGCUUGCUGGACUGUAACUGACGCUGAUGCUCGAAAGUGUGGGUAUCAAACAGGAUUAGAUACCCUGGUAGUCCACACAGUAAACGAUGAAUACUCGCUGUUUGCGAUAUACAGUAAGCGGCCAAGCGAAAGCGUUAAGUAUUCCACCUGGGGAGUACGCCGGCAACGGUGAAACUCAAAGGAAUUGACGGGGGCCCGCACAAGCGGAGGAACAUGUGGUUUAAUUCGAUGAUACGCGAGGAACCUUACCCGGGCUUGAAUUGCAACUGAAUGAUGUGGAGACAUGUCAGCCGCAAGGCAGUUGUGAAGGUGCUGCAUGGUUGUCGUCAGCUCGUGCCGUGAGGUGUCGGCUUAAGUGCCAUAACGAGCGCAACCCUUAUCGAUAGUUACCAUCAGGUUAUGCUGGGGACUCUGUCGAGACUGCCGUCGUAAGAUGUGAGGAAGGUGGGGAUGACGUCAAAUCAGCACGGCCCUUACGUCCGGGGCUACACACGUGUUACAAUGGGGGGUACAGAAGGCAGCUACACGGCGACGUGAUGCUAAUCCCGAAAGCCUCUCUCAGUUCGGAUUGGAGUCUGCAACCCGACUCCAUGAAGCUGGAUUCGCUAGUAAUCGCGCAUCAGCCACGGCGCGGUGAAUACGUUCCCGGGCCU